RNAcentral lists this small RNA (615 nucleotides) under Pan troglodytes (chimpanzee). Its description in RNAcentral is "processed transcript". Lineage: Eukaryota; Metazoa; Chordata; Mammalia; Primates; Hominidae. The record is from RNAcentral.
CGUUCACCAGCAAGGAGCCGCAGCGGGGUAUGGGCAGCAUGCCCAAGCGGGGCCUGGAGGUUCUACAAACUGCAUGAGCGCAAGUGUGAGCCCAUCGUCAUGACUGUGCCAAGAAAGUCGGACCUCUUCCAGGAUGAUCUGUACCCCGACACAGCCGGGCCCGAGGCAGCCCUGGAGGCUGAGGAGUGGGUGAGCGGGCGGGAUGCCGACCCGAUCCUCAUCUCACUGAGGGAGGCCUACGUGCCCAGCAAGCAGCGGGACCUGAAGAUCAGCCGGCGCAACGUGUUGUCUGACAGCCGGCCCGCCAUGGCCCCGGGCUCCUCCCACCUAGGGGCCCCCGCCUCCACCACCACUGCUGCUGAUGCCACCCCCAGCGGCAGCCUGGCCAGAGCCGGGGAGGCUGGGAAGCUGGAGGAGGUGAUGCAGGAGCUGCGGGCCCUGAGGGCGCUGGUCAAGGAGCAGGGCGACCGCAUCUGUCGCCUGGAGGAGCAGCUGGGCCGCAUGGAGAACGGGGAUGCGUAGGGCCACAGCCACACGCCACCUUCAUCUCCUCCUCCGCCCCCUUCCCACUCAGCUUCUGCCAGUGGGUCGCACUGGGCUAGCUGGCUGCCCAGA